AUAACAAUAGUACUACUAAUAAAGGGAAAUUAUCUUUUAAACCUAUGAAACAUUCCCAGAUUAAUAAUUAACUACAAAUUUAAACAAAAGCUGUGUUCAUGCUCUAUAUUUCUGUACUAGUAACUGACAUGUUAAAAGUAAUUUAUUGGCAUCUAGCAGAAACCGUCUGCCACUUUAUAGAGGUCACAGAAUCGUAAGAAUUUAAAGCUGGAAGAGCCUUUAAGAGCUUGUAAUCCAGCCUCCUUCUCAUUUCAUAACUGAGGAAACAGUGGCGCAGAGAGAGGCUAAGCCCAGCUGUUGCAACACCCUUGAAUGGGACUUCGGUGAGCGUUUUGCUUGCUGGCGAUUUGAAGAGACCCACAGUACUUUUCAUUUGUAGUAGGAAUGAAUUAAUUGUAUCAGCCCCCCCCCCCCAGCGCUUUUUGUUAAGUGAGGAAGAUGCAGACCAAAGUUAAAACUUCUCUCCCUAGAGGAGAGAAGCCAGGAAUAUUUAAAUUAUUGUACUGGACCAUGUGAUUGGUGCUAAAUGAAAAUAACAUUGAUUCUAAUCCAUUCAAGUUUAGGGCAUCUGGCCUGAGAACACGUUGUCAACAACAAAAGUUACCAAGACUGUAAAGUAUCUGAAUCCAAAGCCAAAACAGAGAAAGGAAUUGCGGAAUUCUGGGGCAGGAUUUAAUGAAAGAGCUCUCCACUCUGGAAAAACUGCAGCAGUUGGGGGAUGUGGGAAAAGACACCUUUGCCAUGCAGAGGACUCCCAUCUUUAAGAUUCCCAUUCGAAAGCAAGAUUGCCUGAUAGAUAAGGCAAGGCGGGCGACAGACCACGAUCCCAACCGCCCACUCCUUUCUUGCCCCAAAGAGAGUUGCCCACCUCACUGUUGGCAUCGGACAGUGCGCCUGCCGAGGGCUCGCCCCGCCUUGAUGGUAGGGGGUCUGGCCCGGGCGCUCGUUCCUGCCUAGCUUUUUCUGCCCUCACCCACC
This 978-nucleotide long non-coding RNA is filed under the name Marmota monax (woodchuck). The record is from RNAcentral. Lineage: Eukaryota; Metazoa; Chordata; Mammalia; Rodentia; Sciuridae.